RNAcentral lists this ribosomal RNA (266 nucleotides) under uncultured bacterium. RNAcentral's name for it is "partial 16S ribosomal RNA". It matches the Rfam family "Bacterial small subunit ribosomal RNA", at positions 1226 to 1500 of the family's 1533-position model. The record is from RNAcentral.
UACAAUGGCAGGUACAGAGGGAUGCUACCGGGCGACCGGAUGCGGAUCUCGAAAGCCUGUCCCAGUUCGGACUGGAGUCUGCAACCCGACUCCACGAAGUUGGAUUCGCUAGUAAUCGCGCAUCAGCCAUGGCGCGGUGAAUACGUUCCCGGGCCUUGUACACACCGCCCGUCAAGCCAUGGGAGCCGGGGGCGCCUGAAGUCCGGGACCGCGAGGACCGGCCUAGGGCGAAACUGGUAACUGGGGCUAAGUCGUAACAAGGUAUC